RNAcentral lists this ribosomal RNA (253 nucleotides) under uncultured bacterium. RNAcentral's name for it is "partial 16S ribosomal RNA". It matches the Rfam family "Bacterial small subunit ribosomal RNA", at positions 524 to 776 of the family's 1533-position model. The record is from RNAcentral.
UACGAAGGGGGCUAGCGUUGCUCGGAAUCACUGGGCGUAAAGCGCACGUAGGCGGCUUUCUAAGUCAGGGGUGAAAUCCUGGAGCUCAACUCCAGAACUGCCUUUGAUACUGGAAAGCUUGAGUUCGGGAGAGGUGAGUGGAACUGCGAGUGUAGAGGUGAAAUUCGUAGAUAUUCGCAAGAACACCAGUGGCGAAGGCGGCUCACUGGCCCGAUACUGACGCUGAGGUGCGAAAGCGUGGGUAGCAAACAGG